AUACUUACACCUGGCAGGGGGAAUCAAGGUGAUUUUUCCAGGGCCAGAUUGUCCUCCGAAUGUGCUCACCCCUGUGAUUUCCCCAAAUAUAGGAAACUCAACUGCAAAAUUUGUGGUAGUAGGGGGACUGCUUUAUUAUUCUCCCCUG
Molecule: small nuclear RNA, 148 nt
Filed under: Sorex araneus (European shrew)
Lineage: Eukaryota; Metazoa; Chordata; Mammalia; Eulipotyphla; Soricidae
Description: U1 spliceosomal RNA (ENSSARG00000014736.1)
Rfam family: U1 spliceosomal RNA
About the family: U1 is a small nuclear RNA (snRNA) component of the spliceosome (involved in pre-mRNA splicing). Its 5' end forms complementary base pairs with the 5' splice junction, thus defining the 5' donor site of an intron. There are significant differences in sequence and secondary structure between metazoan and yeast U1 snRNAs, the latter being much longer (568 nucleotides as compared to 164 nucleotides in human).
Source: RNAcentral